AUCCCAGACUCCUACGGGAGGCAGCAGUGGGGAGUAUUGCACAAUGGGGGAAACCCUGAUGCAGCGACGCCGCGUGAGCGAUGAAGUAUUUCGGUCUGUAAAGCUCUAUCAGCAGGGAAGAAAAUGACGGUACCUGACUAAGAAGCCCCGGCUAACUACGUGCCAGCAGCCGCGGUAAUACGUAGGGGGCAAGCGUUAUCCGGAUUUACUGGGUGUAAAGGGAGCGUAGACGGCGGUGCAAGCCAGAUGUGAAAGCCCGGGGCUCAACCCCGGGACUGCAUUUGGAACUGUGCUGCUAGAGUGUCGGAGAGGCAGGCGGAAUUCCUAGUGUAGCGGUGAAAUGCGUAGAUAUUAGGAGGAACACCGGUGGCGAAGGCGGCCUGCUGGACUGCAACUGACGUUGAGGCCCGAAAGCGUGGGGAGCAAACAGGAUUAGAUACCCCGGUAC
RNAcentral lists this ribosomal RNA (448 nucleotides) under uncultured bacterium. RNAcentral describes it as "partial 16S ribosomal RNA". It matches the Rfam family "Bacterial small subunit ribosomal RNA", at positions 328 to 793 of the family's 1533-position model. The record is from RNAcentral.